UUGAACGCUGGCGGCAGGCCUAACACAUGCAAGUCGAGCGGAUGAAGGGAGCUUGCUCCUGGAUUCAGCGGCGGACGGGUGAGUAAUGCCUAGGAAUCUGCCUGGUAGUGGGGGAUAACGUCCGGAAACGGGCGCUAAUACCGCAUACGUCCUGAGGGAGAAAGUGGGGGAUCUUCGGUCCUCACGCUAUCAGAUGAGCCUAGGUCGGAUUAGCUAGUUGGUGGGGUAAAGGCCUACCAAGGCGACGAUCCGUAACUGGUCUGAGAGGAUGAUCAGUCACACUGGAACUGAGACACGGUCCAGACUCCUACGGGAGGCAGCAGUGGGGAAUAUUGGACAAUGGGCGAAAGCCUGAUCCAGCCAUGCCGCGUGUGUGAAGAAGGUCUUCGGAUUGUAAAGCACUUUAAGUUGGGAGGAAGGGCAGUAAGUUAAUACCUUGCUGUUUUGACGUUACCAACAGAAUAAGCACCGGCUAACUUCGUG
This 483-nucleotide ribosomal RNA is filed under the name uncultured bacterium. RNAcentral describes it as "partial 16S ribosomal RNA". It matches the Rfam family "Bacterial small subunit ribosomal RNA", at positions 30 to 507 of the family's 1533-position model. The record is from RNAcentral.